Molecule: ribosomal RNA, 393 nt
Filed under: uncultured bacterium
Lineage: Bacteria
Description: bacterial SSU rRNA
Rfam family: Bacterial small subunit ribosomal RNA
Source: RNAcentral
GACGAACGCUGGCGGCGUGCUUAACACAUGCAAGUCGAGCGGUAAGGCCCUUUCGGGGGUACACGAGCGGCGAACGGGUGAGCAACACGUGGGUGACCUGCCCUUAGCUCUGGGAUAAGCCUGGGAAACUGGGUCUAAUACCGGAUAUGACUCCAUGACGCAUGUUGUGGGGUGGAAAGCCUUGUGCGGCUAGGGAUGGGCCCGCGGCCUAUCAGCUUGUUGGUGUGGNGAUGGCCUACCAAGGCGACGACGGGUAGCCGGCCUGAGAGGGCGACCGGCCACACUGGGACUGAGACACGGCCCAGACUCCUACGGGAGGCAGCAGUGGGGAAUCUUGCGCAAUGGGCGAAAGCCUGACGCAGCGACGCCGCGUGAGGGAUGACGGCCUGGUGU